GUAGGGAAUAUUGGACAAUGGGGGCAACCCUGAUCCAGCGACGCCGCGUGAGUGAUGAAGGCCUUCGGGUCGUAAAGCUCUGUUGCAGGGGAAGAACACAAUGACGGUACCCUGCUAGAAAGGAUCGGCUAACUUCGUGCCAGCAGCCGCGGUAAGACGAGGGAUCCUAGCGUUGUUCGGAAUUAUUGGGCGUAAAGCGGGUGCAGGUGGCUUGGUAAGUCAGAUGUGAAAGCCUGGGGCUUAACCCCAGAAGUGCAUUUGAGACUGCUGAGCUUGAGUGCUGGAGAGGCUAUUAGAAUUCCUGGUGUAGUGGUGAAAUACGUAGAUAUCAGGAGGAAUACCGGAGGCGAAGGCGGAUAGCUGGCCAGACACUGACACUCAGACCCGAAAGCGUGGGGAUCAAACAGGAUUAGAAACCCGGGUAGUCC
Molecule: ribosomal RNA, 428 nt
Filed under: uncultured bacterium
Lineage: Bacteria
Description: partial 16S ribosomal RNA
Rfam family: Bacterial small subunit ribosomal RNA
Source: RNAcentral